GACGAACGCUGGCGGCGUGCUUAACACAUGCAAGUCGAACGGAAAGGCCCUGCUUUUGUGGGGUGCUCGAGUGGCGAACGGGUGAGUAACACGUGAGUAACCUGCCCUUGACUUUGGGAUAACUUCAGGAAACUGGGGCUAAUACCGGAUAGGAGCUCCUGCUGCAUGGUGGGGGUUGGUAAGUUUCGGCGGUUGGGGAUGGACUCGCGGCUUAUCAGCUUGUUGGUGGGGUAGUGGCUUACCAAGGCUUUGACGGGUAGCCGGCCUGAGAGGGUGACCGGCCACAAUGGGACUGAGAUACGGCCCAGACUCCUACGGGAGGCAGCAGUGGGGAAUAUUGCACAAUGGGCGGAAGCCUGAUGCAGCAACGCCGCGUGCGGGAUGACGGCCUUCGGGUUGUAAACCGCUUUCGCCUGUGACGAAGCGUGAGUGACGGUAAUGGGUAAAGAAGCACCGGCUAACUACGUG
RNAcentral lists this ribosomal RNA (468 nucleotides) under uncultured bacterium. Its description in RNAcentral is "partial 16S ribosomal RNA". It matches the Rfam family "Bacterial small subunit ribosomal RNA", at positions 28 to 507 of the family's 1533-position model. The record is from RNAcentral.